UCUACUCCACCCAAAUCAAUCUCCUUGCUAUUCCUCUAACCUGUAUUUCAAGAAAUACCAAAGGAAGUACUUCAGACUGAAGAGAAAUGACUGUCAAUUGGAAAGUAAGAUCUACCAGAAGGAAUGAAGAGCACCACUGGCAAACAUAUAAAGACGGCCCAGGAUCUGCUGCAGGAAGCUUCCAGGAAAUGAGUGAGAAGUAUGUCAGGAGAAGGUGUAUGAGGACCCAGGUUGACUUCUUAUACGUGGGGACUGGUUCCAGCAUAAUUCACCAAUAGUCCACUGAGGAUGUCACAUUCCAAGGAAUUACAUGCCAGACUUGUCUUCCCAUGGGGCUCAAUCUGGGCCUUUGCCUCUGAAGGAGUCAUAUUUUCCUCCUUCCAUGACGGCUGAUUCAACUCCCUCCUCCCUCUCAUGACCCUGAUUCAACUCUCUCUUCCCUUUCUCCAUUAUCACACGCUGCUCCCCAAGGUAGGAGGCAAACUCCAUCCAAGCUCCAAAUGUUCCUAGAGCCCAGGCAUCCAGAUGGUUCCUGGGCUUCAGGGAGGGACAUCUCCACAGCAGGUGUGAUGGAGCCAGAGCUAAAGGGUUUAGGGGUUAGCUAAGGGGGUGAGGCCUGGGGAUGGUGCCUCUGCUCAGCUGAAGAGCCCUUCAUUUAGCUCCUGGCAAAUAAUUAACAAGAGGGCCGAGCAGGCAAGCACCCCGAGGACUGUGCUCCCGAGAACUUUGUGGAGCAGAGCCACCAUGCCUACCCUUAAGCAGUCACUUAAGAAAGCGAUAGCCUCUAUCCUGUUCAAACCAUGCUUAUUUUGAGUAUCUGCCCACCACAACCAAACCUAAUCCUGAUUGUUAGAAGUAUGUUAAGACUCCUGUUCACACUCCACUUAUUUCCCCAAAUGAUUUGAGACAACUUAUUGUAAAUGAUAAAUAAAUGAUGGGAGCAAGCAAGCAAGGAUAAGAAAAUAAGAGGCAUAAAAUAAAAAAUGGGGUGACAGUGUUUCCAGAAAAGGUGCAUUGAAGAAAUUACUGUAGCUGCAUGCAACAUUUCACAUCUAACUUCCUGGCAGCCAAGUCAAAUAAGGGAUACCUGGUGACUUAAUGUACCUCUCAUUAUCAGUGUGGGUGGUCAGGAGAACAAGGCUGUAUCAGGGCUACCUCUGGCAAACUCUUUGUUUUCAAUAGCUGAUUCCACAACAAGGAAGUAAAUUAAAAACGCUCAUUGGAAGGUCGCCUGGAUGGCUCAGUCAGUAGAGUAUGUGACUUUUGAUUUCUGGGUUGUGAGUUUGCACCCCACACUGGGUGUAGAGAUUGCUUGAAAAUGAAAUCUUGGGGUGCCUGGGUGACUCAGUCAGUUAAGUGUCUGACUCUUGCUUUCAGCUCAGGUUAUGAUCUCAGGGUGAUGGGAUUGAGCCAUGUGG
Nyctereutes procyonoides (raccoon dog) is the source of this 1418-nucleotide long non-coding RNA. RefSeq lists it as uncharacterized. Lineage: Eukaryota; Metazoa; Chordata; Mammalia; Carnivora; Canidae. The record is from RefSeq and is a predicted model, not a curated record. The transcript is spliced from 3 exons.